UUGAAGCCAUCUUGAAGUGAAAGCCGUGGCGUUGGAGUCCAACUUCGACCAUCAUAAAUGACCUUCGGACAGGACACAGAUUCCUAAGCUCAGAUUUAUUAUGGACUCAAGAAGUCUCUUGCGGUUUCGAUGUAAAUUAAGACGAAAGAUGCAAUGCAAAAGCCUUUUCUAUAUAAGAAACCCAAAAUGAAGAUGGCUCCAGUACUAGUAAUUGGGAAUCGGAGUCGGAGGAAUCGGAGCACCGACUUACGGCGCAUCAGCCCGAAAACUUUGCGGCGCAUCCCCGGAGCUAUAUAGAACACCGGCUCUGGAUAUUGAAGCUGAAGAGGACAUCCAUAACUAAAGUGAAAUACUUUCUACAAGCCAUGCAUAACAAGAAUAAUUGAUCAACCACAUAUCAGGACCAAGGAUGAGGACCAGGACAGGAGAUCAGGACUAGAACAGAGGAUCAGGACCACGACCGAGGAUCAGGACCAAGGAUCAGAACCAGGACGGAGGACCAGGACAGAUGAUCAGAACCAAGGAUCAGGAUGGCGAUCAGGACAAUGACAGAUGAUCAGGACCAGGGCAGGUGAUCAGAACUACUACCGAAGAUCAGAACCACGACAGAUGAUUAGAACAAGGAUCAGGAUGGGGAUCAGGACAAUGACAGACGUUAAGGACCAGGACGGAGGAUCAGGACAAGGACAGAUGAUCAGAACUAGGACCAAGGACCAGGACGGAGGAUCAGGACCAAGACAGAUGAUCAGAACCGGGACUAAGGACCAGGGCUAAGGAUCAGGACCAAGGAUCGUGACCCAAAACAAGAGUCAAGACCAGGACCCUGGAUCAGUGCAAGGAUCAAUCAGGACCAAUCCAAGUGCCAUAGAAUGCAGAGGAGAUUGCUCAGAGAGACAAGCUAACAGAAGAUCGGCAAGAUGCCCAACAAGGUCUAGCUUUAAUAGG
This is a long non-coding RNA of Lytechinus variegatus (green sea urchin), 945 nucleotides long. RefSeq lists it as uncharacterized. Lineage: Eukaryota; Metazoa; Echinodermata; Echinoidea; Temnopleuroida; Toxopneustidae. The record is from RefSeq and is a predicted model, not a curated record. The transcript is spliced from 3 exons.